Molecule: ribosomal RNA, 451 nt
Filed under: uncultured bacterium
Lineage: Bacteria
Description: partial 16S ribosomal RNA
Rfam family: Bacterial small subunit ribosomal RNA
Source: RNAcentral
AACGAACGCUGGCGGCAGGCUUAACACAUGCAAGUCGAACGGGUGUAGCAAUACAUCAGUGGCAGACGGGUGAGUAACACGUGGGAACCUUCCUCGUUGUACGGAACAACUCAGGGAAACUUGAGCUAAUACCGUAUACGUCCGAGAGGAGAAAGAUUUAUCGGAAUGAGACGGGCCCGCGUCGGAUUAGCUAGUUGGUAAGGUAACGGCUUAACAAGGCGACGAUCCGUAGCUGAUCUGAGAGGAUGAGCAGCCACACUGGGACUGAGACACGGCCCAGACUCCUACGGGAGGCAGCAGUGGGGAAUCUUGGACAAUGGGCGCAAGCCUGAUCCAGCCAUGCCGCGUGAGUGAAGAAGGCCUUCGGGUUGUAAAGCUCUUUUGUCAGGGACGAUAAUGACGGUACCUGAAGAAUAAGCCCCGGCAAACUUCGUGCCAGCCGCCGCAGUAA